UACGUAGGCAGCGAGCGUUGUUCGGAGUUACUGGGCGUAAAGCGUGCGUAGGCGGUCUUGUAAGUCUGGUGUGAAAUCUCCCGGCUCAACUGGGAGGGUGCGCCGGAAACUGCAAGGCUGGAGUAUGGGAGAGGUAGGCGGAAUUCCUGGUGUAGCGGUGAAAUGCGUAGAUAUCAGGAGGAACACCUGUGGUGUAGACGGCUUACUGGACCAUGACUGACGCUGAGGCACGAAAGCGUGGGGAGCAAACAGG
Molecule: ribosomal RNA, 253 nt
Filed under: Acidobacterium sp.
Lineage: Bacteria; Pseudomonadati; Acidobacteriota; Terriglobia; Terriglobales; Acidobacteriaceae
Also listed under: 1 other name
Description: partial 16S ribosomal RNA
Rfam family: Bacterial small subunit ribosomal RNA
Source: RNAcentral